Molecule: ribosomal RNA, 503 nt
Filed under: uncultured bacterium
Lineage: Bacteria
Description: bacterial SSU rRNA
Rfam family: Bacterial small subunit ribosomal RNA
Source: RNAcentral
GAUCAUGGCUCAGGAUGAACGCUAGCUACAGGCUUAACACAUGCAAGUCGAGGGGCAGCAUAUUUUUAGCUUGCUAAGAAUGAUGGCGACCGGCGCACGGGUGAGUAACGCGUAUCCAACCUUCCCAUGGCUCAGGGAUAACCUUGCGAAAGUAAGCCUAAUACCUGAUAUCCUCUUUAGCAGGCAUCUAAAGAAGAGGAAAGAUUUAUCGGCGAUGGAUGGGGAUGCGUCCGAUUAGCUUGCCGGUGGGGUAAAGGCCCACCGGGGCGACGAUCGGUAGGGGUUCUGAGAGGAAGGUCCCCCACAUUGGAACUGAGACACGGUCCAAACUCCUACGGGAGGCAGCAGUGAGGAAUAUUGGUCAAUGGGCGCAAGCCUGAACCAGCCAAGUAGCGUGAGGGAAGACUGCCCUAUGGGUUGUAAACCUCUUUUGAUUGGGAACAAAGAGCGCCACGUGUGGUGCGUUGCGUGUACCUUUCGAAUAAGCAUCGGCUAAUUCCGUG